This 108-nucleotide ribosomal RNA is filed under the name Amphilophus citrinellus (Midas cichlid). Lineage: Eukaryota; Metazoa; Chordata; Actinopteri; Cichliformes; Cichlidae. The record is from RNAcentral.
ACAGUUUACAGCCCUGAGGACACCUGAUCUCCUCUGAUCUAGGAAGCUAAGCAGGGUCGGGCCUAGUUAGUAUUGGAUGGGGACCACCUGGGUCUUAGGGUGUCUGUA